UGAUGCGCGCCAGUUUCAGGUGUCCCAUGCCGCCGUGCAUGGGAUUAAACGGGAAGCCGGUGCGUCACUCUCUGUGAUCAGUCCGGCGCUGCCCCCGCAACGGUAAGCGAGCGAAGCAUUCAAAAUACCACUGUGCCAAGGCAUGGGAAGGUGAAUGUUUCAUGACCCUCGCAAGCCCGGAGACCGGCCUGCAACCUUGUUUGGCA
Molecule: non-coding RNA, 206 nt
Filed under: Pseudomonas cichorii
Lineage: Bacteria; Pseudomonadati; Pseudomonadota; Gammaproteobacteria; Pseudomonadales; Pseudomonadaceae
Source: RNAcentral